Molecule: long non-coding RNA, 281 nt
Filed under: Carica papaya (papaya)
Lineage: Eukaryota; Viridiplantae; Streptophyta; Magnoliopsida; Brassicales; Caricaceae
Description: long non-coding RNA (CPAP_LNC011313)
Source: RNAcentral
GGUCGUCCUCAUACCUCGUCCAGUAUGAGCGCAAAAAAUGACAUCCUUUAAUACCUCGUCCAGUAUGAGGGUGAAUCAGGUCAUCUCCAUACUUUGUCCAGUAUAAAGUGUCAAAAGUACCAUCCCUCAAUACCCCGUUCGGUAUGAGGUAUGUUCACAGUAGAAUUCCCUAUAUACCUAAUCCGUCCACCAUCUCUCAUGAUAUCCAGUAAGACAACAAUUUAUUAAUUCAUAUGAUCAAGCAAUUUUCUAUUUGUAUAUUAAUUUCACAUUUCACAAAU